Molecule: non-coding RNA, 71 nt
Organism: Candidatus Parvarchaeum acidophilus ARMAN-5
Lineage: Archaea; Nanobdellati; Candidatus Parvarchaeota
Source: Rfam
GCGCCAAUAGUCUAGCAGCAGAACUCUGGCUUCCCAAGCCAGUGACCCGGGUGCGAAUCCCGGUUGGCGCA